CUACUUAAAUACCAAUUUUGAUCAUUGAGCAAAUAUAACUGGUCUAAAUCCACAAAAAUAAGUGGUCAAAAAUCACAAAUAUAAAAGAGCCAAAAUCACGUUCUUUUUCAUUUGCUCCCAUAGACUGCCACUUGCACACCUGUGCUGGCACCAGGUUCAAAAAACUAGUUGGACUAGUACAUACCAACAGAUAUUUAUUGGUCCAACUAGGAACCAGCACCAACCGCCUUGUAUAGUCAGAAAUUGAAUUUUGUUAGUUUCUUAAUAUGAAGCUGUUGACAGACAACUGUUUACUAUCAAUAGCCAUCCUCUCCUCCUCUUCCCCUCUUCUCUCUUUCUUGUGGGCUCUCAUUGGUCAGAAACCUGAUUCCUAAUAGUUAGAAUUUCAAGAGAAUAUGUAUCAAAUUGGACUCUCAUUGACCCUCUUAGUUCAUCACUAAAACUUAAAAUUACAACGAAAAUCAUCCAACAAUAAUAGGAAAAUAUUCAAUACAUCACUCUGUCACAAUUAACACAAACUUAUAUAAGACCUAACUUGAAUCUGUCCUAUUUCACAUGUGCCCCUCCAUCAUAUAAUCUAUUGCAUAUCAAAUGAGUGGUAAAUUAUUCUGUGGUGUAUUUUGCUCAUUGAUAUCAAUAUUCUUAAUAUGUUCUACAAAUAUACAUAAUCACAUAUCAGUAUUUUUACCAAUAAUGAAUGUGCAUCAUUUGUAUCACUAUUUUUAUUGCCUUGAUGCAUAUCUGCAUAAUCACGUAUUUUGCUCACUAAUAGAAAUAUUCUUACUAUGCUCUAGCAUGUAUACGUGCUCAUAUGUAAGCACACAUACAUAUACAUAUGUAUGUAUAUGUAUAUGUAUAUGUAUAUAUAUAUGUAUAUGUAUAUAUAUAUGUAUAUAUAUAUAUAUAUAUAUAUAUAUAUAUAUAUAUAUACACACAUGUAUGUACGUAAGAAUAUUGCUCACUAAUAGCAAUAUUCUUACUAUGCUCUAGCAUGUAUACAUGCUCAUAUGGAAGCACACAUGCAUGUACCUAUAAACAUACAUAUUUACAGAUAAAUCAUAUAUACAUAUACAUAUACACAUACAUACAUAUACAU
RNAcentral lists this long non-coding RNA (1096 nucleotides) under Musa acuminata (dwarf banana). RNAcentral's name for it is "long non-coding RNA (MACU_LNC002931)". Lineage: Eukaryota; Viridiplantae; Streptophyta; Magnoliopsida; Zingiberales; Musaceae. The record is from RNAcentral.